CCUCAAAUGCAUUCUCUAUUUCUCUCUUCAUAGAUAUUUCAGCUUUCUUUAUGUCAGCAUCAGUCCCUCCAACAACUUCUACUGCAACGGCCGAGGCCACUUAAGCACAACAAAAUAUUCCUCUUACCUCCCAGAAUAUGUUGAGAACAGACUCCAUAAAACAUAGCAGCAGCAACAGUAGAUAUGGCAAAUGCAACAACCAAUAUUCCUUCAACAAUUGGUUGCUGCAUUGGCGGUAUCUGCUUUUGCUGGUGUUUGUGAAGUCUCUUGUUCAUAUAUUCGGGGAACCUUCGGCUGUUGCUGAAGAGCAACAUUUGUUGCUUAAGUGGCUUUGGCCGUUGCUCGUGGACUGUUGUUGGAGGGGCUGCUGCUGCUUCUGUAUCAGUGAAGAGGGUUGCUGCUGUUUUAGCUGAGAACGACGCAGUUGCAACUGCAGUUAAAUCACCCUGAUACUCCAUAAUUAUUAGAUGAUUCUUCAAGUUCAAUCCAAUCCUGGACAACUUUUAGUAUAAUCAUUUUACAAGUCGAGCCUUAAAAUAACUGGUAAAGUUGCUCCCAUAUGACCUGGAGGUCAUAGGUUCGAGCGGUGAAAACAUUCUAUUGUAGAAAUGCAAGGUAAGAUUGCAUACUUAAACUCUUGUGGUUCUACACUAUUUUACUGUUGUAGUCAUCUGUAUUAUUAUAGACCUUUCCUCGCUUCUACACUUGUUAUACGGACUAAGCCCCCUGAUAAUUUGAUCAAAAUCAAUUCCGAUGGAAGCAGAAAACUUGAUUAUCACUUUUGCUAAAAAAGCUCCAAUUUUUAUACUAACAAUUAUGCUGAACUGUCAGCCUCUCAUUUUGUUAUUUUGUGGUGUAUUUUAACAAUUGCAAAACAUCAUUUUGGAGCUUGAUUCUCCUUUAGUGGAUGCUAUGAUUCAAGGCAACAAGAAGCCCCCAUGGACUUGGAGACAAACAUCGUCAAAUAUAAAAGAUGCAAAACUUGAUUUGACCCUUUCAAGUGAUAGUCAAGCACUGCUACAGAAUCAAACUCGGUAGCAGAUAUUCCGGUGAAGCAUGUAGCAGAUUCCAACAACAUGAGGAGACCUUCUUCUCAAAUUUUUUAGAUCUUCCUAGGGAGACCAGAGGAUACUUCAGGAUGGAUAAACUGGAACUGGCUAGUUUCACAAGGCAUGUUAAAAGAAAGAAUUCAAACCCCUAACUGUAAGGUGGUUUGUACUUGUAGGAAACUUAUACCACGUUGGUGGAAUAGGAAGGAAGGAGAAGGUUUAAGUACUUUGACCCUUUAGGUGUACUUAGAUAUGUAAGUGCACCAAAUGUCCUAUAUAUAUAUAUAUAUUAUAAAAAUCAAAGAACUUGAUGUUCAAUUUUAUUU
Capsicum annuum is the source of this 1375-nucleotide long non-coding RNA. RefSeq lists it as uncharacterized. The transcript is spliced from 2 exons. The record is from RefSeq and is a predicted model, not a curated record. NCBI's taxonomy places the organism in Eukaryota, Viridiplantae, Streptophyta, Magnoliopsida, Solanales, Solanaceae.